This 332-nucleotide ribosomal RNA is filed under the name uncultured bacterium. RNAcentral's name for it is "bacterial SSU rRNA". It matches the Rfam family "Bacterial small subunit ribosomal RNA", at positions 8 to 334 of the family's 1533-position model. The record is from RNAcentral.
AGAGUUUGAUCCUGGCUCAGAUUGAACGCUGGCGGCAGGCCUAACACAUGCAAGUCGAGCGGCAGCGGGAAAGUAGCUUGCUACUUUUGCCGGCGAGCGGCGGACGGGUGAGUAAUGCCUGGGAAAUUGCCCAGUCGAGGGGGAUAACAGUUGGAAACGACUGCUAAUACCGCAUAUGCCCUACGGGGGAAAGCAGGGGACCUUCGGGCCUUGCGCGAUUGGAUAUGCCCAGGUGGGAUUAGCUUGUUGGUGAGGUAAUGGCUCACCAAGGCGACGAUCCCUAGCUGGUCUGAGAGGAUGAUCAGCCACACUGGAACUGAGACACGGUCCAG